AGAGUUUGAUCAUGGCUCAGAUUGAACGCUGGCGGCAUUUACACAUGCAAGUCGAACGGGGUGAGGGGGCAACUCCUCAUCUAGUGGCGAACGGGUGAGUAAUGCAUCGGAACGUGUCCCGUAGUGGGGGAUAACCCGGCGAAAGCCGGACUAAUACCGCAUAUGCUCUACGGAGGAAAGUGGGGGAUCCGCAAGGACCUUACGCUAUGGGAGCGGCCGAUGUCCGAUUAGCUUGUUGGUGGGGUAAUGGCCUACCAAGGCGACGAUCGGUAGCUGGUCUGAGAGGAUGAUCAGCCACACUGGGACUGAGACACGGCCCAGACUCCUACGGGAGGCAGCAGUGGGGAAUUUUGGACAAUGGGGGCAACCCUGAUCCAGCCAUGCCGCGUGCGGGAAGAAGGCCUUCGGGUUGUAAACCGCUUUUAGUCGGGAAGAAAAGGCACGGGUGAAUACCCCGUGUUUUUGACGGUACCGGCGGAAUAAGCACCGGCUAACUACGUGCCAGCAGCCGCGGUAAUACGUAGGGUGCGAGCGUUAAUCGGAAUUACUGGGCGUAAAGCGUGCGCAGGCGGUUCGUCGUGUCCGAUGUGAAAGCCCCGGGCUCAACCUGGGAAUGGCAUUGGAAACUGGCGGACUCGAGUGUGGCAGAGGGGGGUGGAAUUCCGCGUGUAGCAGUGAAAUGCGUAGAGAUGCGGAGGAACACCGAUGGCGAAGGCAGCCCCCUGGGCUAACACUGACGCUCAGGCACGAAAGCGUGGGGAGCAAACAGGAUUAGAUACCCUAGUAGUCC
Molecule: ribosomal RNA, 790 nt
Filed under: uncultured bacterium
Lineage: Bacteria
Description: bacterial SSU rRNA
Rfam family: Bacterial small subunit ribosomal RNA
Source: RNAcentral